This 424-nucleotide ribosomal RNA is filed under the name uncultured bacterium. RNAcentral's name for it is "partial 16S ribosomal RNA". It matches the Rfam family "Bacterial small subunit ribosomal RNA", at positions 360 to 776 of the family's 1533-position model. The record is from RNAcentral.
AAUUUUGGACAAGGUGCGCAAGCCUGAUCCAGCCAUGCCGCGUGAGUGAAGAAGGCCAGCGGGUUGUAAAGCUCUUUCGGACGGAAAGAAAUCGCACAGACUAAUACCCUGCGCGGAUUACCGUACCGCCAUAAUAAGUACCGGCUAACUACGUGCCAUCAGCCGCGGUAAUACGUAGGGUGCGAGCGUUAAUCGGAAUUACUGGGCGUAAAGCGUGCGCAGGCGGUUGAUUAAGACAGGCGUGAGAUCCCCGGGCUUAACCUGGGAACUGCGCUUGUGACUGGUCAGCUAGAGUACGGCAGAGGGGGGUGGAAUUCCACGUGUAGCAGUGAAAUGCGUAGAGAUGUGGAGGAACACCGAUGGCGAAGGCAGCCCCCUGGGCCGAUACUGACGCUCAUGCACGAAAGCGUGGGUAGCAAACAGG